Molecule: ribosomal RNA, 511 nt
Filed under: uncultured bacterium
Lineage: Bacteria
Description: partial 16S ribosomal RNA
Rfam family: Bacterial small subunit ribosomal RNA
Source: RNAcentral
GACGAACGCUGGCGGCGUGCUUAACACAUGCAAGUCGAACGAAGAGCGAUGGAAGCUUGCUUCUAUCAAUCUUAGUGGCGAACGGGUGAGUAACGCGUAAUCAACCUGCCCUUCAGAGGGGGACAACAGUUGGAAACGACUGCUAAUACCGCAUACGAUCUAACCUCGGCAUCGAGGAUAGAUGAAAGGUGGCCUCUACAUGUAAGCUAUCACUGAAGGAGGGGAUUGCGUCUGAUUAGCUAGUUGGAGGGGUAACGGCCCACCAAGGCGAUGAUCAGUAGCCGGUCUGAGAGGAUGAACGGCCACAUUGGGACUGAGACACGGCCCAGACUCCUACGGGAGGCAGCAGUGGGGAAUCUUCCGCAAUGGACGAAAGUCUGACGGAGCAACGCCGCGUGAGUGAUGACGGCCUUCGGGUUGUAAAGCUCUGUUAAUCGGGACGAAAGGCCUUCUUGCGAAUAGUUAGAAGGAUUGACGGUACCGGAAUAGAAAGCCACGGCUAACUACGUGC